RNAcentral lists this small nuclear RNA (270 nucleotides) under Mustela putorius furo (domestic ferret). Its description in RNAcentral is "7SK RNA (ENSMPUG00000022437.1)". It matches the Rfam family "7SK RNA". Rfam says of the family: 7SK was discovered as an abundant small nuclear RNA in the mid-70s but a possible function has only recently been suggested. Two independent studies have found that 7SK RNA binds the CDK9/cyclin T complex (known as elongation factor P-TEFb). Lineage: Eukaryota; Metazoa; Chordata; Mammalia; Carnivora; Mustelidae. The record is from RNAcentral.
GGAUAUGUGGACAAUCUGACUGUGAUAUCCUGAUUCAGCUGAUUGGGCUGGUGAGAAAAGUAUUCCCUUCCUCAUCACUCCAUGUGUAUCCCUACCCAAGAUGAGUGCUCUUUGGUCAAAGAGGAUGACCUUCCCAACAGAGGAGGAUCAUUCUUCAGUCAAGGGUUUUAUGAAUAGCUGUUGUCUUUUGUUAGAACCUCCAAAUAAGCUCUCAAGAGAUUCUGGGCAGCCCAAGACAUGACAAACACCUACUGAAGGAUUUGGCUCUGA